RNAcentral lists this ribosomal RNA (479 nucleotides) under uncultured bacterium. RNAcentral's name for it is "partial 16S ribosomal RNA". It matches the Rfam family "Bacterial small subunit ribosomal RNA", at positions 28 to 507 of the family's 1533-position model. The record is from RNAcentral.
GAUGAACGCUAGCGGGAGGCCUAACACAUGCAAGCCGAGCGGUAGAGUUCCUUCGGGAACUUGAGAGCGGCGUACGGGUGCGUAACACGUGUGCAACCUACCUUUAUCUGGGGGAUAGCCUUUCGAAAGGAAGAUUAAUACCCCAUAAUAUAAUGAUUGGCAUCAAUUAUUAUUGAAAACUCCGGUGGAUAGAGAUGGGCACGCGCAAGAUUAGAUAGUUGGUGAGGUAACGGCUCACCAAGUCAAUGAUCUUUAGGGGUCCUGAGAGGGAGAUCCCCCACACUGGUACUGAGACACGGACCAGACUCCUACGGGAGGCAGCAGUGAGGAAUAGUGGACAAUGGGUGAAAGCCUGAUCCAGCCAUCCCGCGUGAAGGAGGACGGUCCUAUGGAUUGUAAACUUCUUUUGUACAGGGAUAAACCUACUCUCGUGAGGGUAGCUGAAGGUACUGUACGAAUAAGCACCGGCUAACUCCGUG